Molecule: ribosomal RNA, 439 nt
Filed under: uncultured bacterium
Lineage: Bacteria
Description: partial 16S ribosomal RNA
Rfam family: Bacterial small subunit ribosomal RNA
Source: RNAcentral
CUACGGGCGGCACCAGUGAGGAAUAUUGCACAAUGGAGGAAACUCUGAUGCAGCAACGCCGCGUGGAGGAUGACGCAUUUCGGUGUGUAAACUCCUUUUAUAUGUCAAGAAAAUGACGGUAGCAUAUGAAUAAGCACCGGCUAACUCCGUGCCAGCAGCCGCGGUAAUACGGAGGGUGCAAGCGUUACGCGGAAUCACUGGGCGUAUAGGACGCGUAGGCGGGAUAUCAAGUCAGGUGUGAAAUCCUACAGCUUAACGGUAGAACUGCACUUGAAACUGGUAACCUAGAGUAUGGGAGGGGGAGAUGGAAUUAGUGGUGUAGGGGUAACAUCCGUAGAUAUCACUAGGAAUACCUAAAGCGAAGGCGAUCUCCUGGAACAUAACUGACGCUAAGGCGUGAAAGCGUGGGGAGCAAACAGGAUUAGAUACCCUAGUAGUC